UACGUAGGGGGCAAGCGUUAUCCAGAUUCACUGGGCGUAAAGCGCGUGUAGGCGGCUGGUUAGGUGUGAUGUGAAAUCCUCGGGCUCAACCCGAGAACUGCAUUGCAAACCGGCCUGGCUAGAGUGCAGGAGAGGGAAGCGGAAUUCCAGGUGUAGCGGUGAAAUGCGCAGAUAUCGGGAGGAACACCUAUGGCGAAGGCAGCUCGCUGGGACGUUACUGACGCUGAGACGCGAAAGCGUGGGGAGCAAACAGG
This 254-nucleotide ribosomal RNA is filed under the name uncultured bacterium. RNAcentral's name for it is "partial 16S ribosomal RNA". It matches the Rfam family "Bacterial small subunit ribosomal RNA", at positions 524 to 776 of the family's 1533-position model. The record is from RNAcentral.